UGGGAGCAGGGAGGCUGCAGGGCUUGCACAGGCUCCUUGCUGAGCCCAGGUGAGGCUGAGUGGUGUGGAGCUGGGGCCUGCUGCCCUGCUCUGCCAGGCUCCGUUGGGCAGUGUCGGUGCCCACUGGGGGCUGGGGUUUGCUCUGUCCCUGCCUCAGCAGCUCCUGGAAGCAGAAGCAUUGUAAAGCAAGGUCUGGGCUUGCUGAGGUGUUCCUGCAGCAGAGCUGAGGCCCUUCCUUGCUGUGGUCCUUGCCUGUCUUUCACUGUGCAGCCCAGGGCUGGCUGCUGCCUCUGUUUCCAACCUGUUGCAGUUGUGAGAGGAGCAAACUGUGAAUCCCAGGGGCUCUGAGGAGCCCCAGGGCCAGGCCAGCAGAGGAGCUGUGCUUGUGGCCAGGAGGCUCCAUUUGACCUGGAGCUGUUGAAGCUGCUGGAAGGGAGGUCAGCCCUGGCAGGGAUGGAUCUGUGGGAUCCAUCUGGGAGCUGCUUUGCUCAGCAGGUUCCACCUGUGAAGAUGUGGGGUCAGGCUAUGAGCUCUGCUCUCCAGGUCCAGGUUCUCCUCCCUGUCCUGCAUUUGUACUUGAAAAGUUGCCCUUGGAUAGCUCUGUGAGGCCUCCCAAGGCCAUGUCCAGCUGCCCCUUAGCUGCUGCUCCAGAGGCAUUGCCCUGCUUGCCCUCAUGCUGGGACCAGAGCCUCUCACCUCUGCUGCUGGUGAGCUGCCUGGAGGUCAGCCCUUGCCACCCUGCCCUGCCAGCCCCGGGAGGGAGGGAGAGAGGGAAGGUGCAGCAAGGUGUGCAGCCUCUGCCCAGCCCUGCCUCUGCUGGGGCAGGCUGCCUUUGCAGGCAGCGUUUUGGCAGCUUUGAUGUCCUUGAAGCACUUUACACCAGGAGCAAGCUCAGGGUGCCCCAGGAGCUAAGGAUCCUGCCAGCCUGCAGCCAGGGCUCCAGCGGGUCCAAAUCCCUUGUGGGGGUGGAAGCAGCUUGGCCAAAUCUCUGCCUGAGAGCUCUGAGGGGAAAGGAGACUUGGUUGUGGUCAGAAAAUUGGGUUUCAGUGCCUGCCAGUCUGAUCUUCUCCUCACUUGCAGCCUCUGUUCCUCCUCAUCCUGCACCUCCAGCAGGGCAGCUCCAGGGUGCUGAGUCCUGCCUGGACGUUUCACUGCCGUGCUCUGAAGCUUGCUGGCUUUGAUGUUUCCUUUGCCCCACACCUGUCUGAAGGAAAUAAGGCCUGGAUGGCCUCGGUGCAGUGUUUGCAGUCAGUUUUCUGUCCAGAGCCAUUGCUUUAACCUCUCUUCCAAGCCGUGGGCAAUGCUCUUUGCUGCCCUGGCUGCUCCUGCCGCCGCUGUGGCUGCAGCGCUGCCCCUGGCAAAGGAGCUGCUCCUUCCCCAGCGCCACCCCCCCAGCCCGGAUGCACCUCCAGCCCUUCCCAAAGGGCUCCAUCAGAGUUUCUGCACGCCAGAAGACAAAAAGCAGUCAGCUCGGUCCCUCUGUGCCUCCCAGCUGCGAUGCGGCAGUGCCCGGAGCGGGACCAGCCCACGCUGGCGACCUGCGCCCGCCGCAGCCUCCCCAUCUCUGCUCUCCCUUUUGCACUGCUCAGCCCUGGGGCAGCGUUGGCAGCACAGCCCCUGGCACAGCCCCUGGCACAGCCCCAGCCUGCAGCGCAGGCUCCGCACGGAGCACGCAGGAGGGGCGGCGGCGGCGGCAGCAGACCCCCGGGGCUGCGGCGAGGCUCUGCCGGGGCUGCGGCGUCGCUGAACUCUCCGUCCCUCCCAAGUGCUGCAUCUGCUCCCUUAACUCAGCUUCCACCAAAGACUCCUGCGUUGGGCAGUUGAACCUUCGUGGGGUUUGUGGGGUUGGUUUGUCUGCUGGGGCCACAUGGAAGCCUUUCAGCACGCCCAGGGGCUCCAGAGUGCUGCUCCAGCAGUGGCUGAGCAGCAAAAGCAUCUUCCAGGUCUGAAACACAUUCCUCAGAGCCGUGUCCCAGGUCUGAACCUGUUACAGAGAACCAUGUCCCAGGUCUGAACCUGUUACAGAGAAUCAUGCUCUAGGUCUGAACCCUGUUACAGAGAAUCAUGUCCCAGGUCUGAACCUGUUACAGAGAAUCAUGCUCUAGGUCUGAACCCUGUUACAGAGAAUCAUGUCCCAGGUCUGAACCUGUUACAGAGAAUCAUGCUCUAGGUCUGAACCCUGUUACAGAGAAUCAUGUCUCAGAUCUGAACCUGUUACAGAGAAUCAUGUCCCAGGUCUGAACCCUGUUUCAGAGAAUCAUGUCCCAGGUCUGAACCUGUUACAGAGAAUCAUGUCCCAGGUCUGAACCCUGUUACAGAGAAUCAUGUCUCAGAUCUGAACCUGUUACAGAGAAUCAUGUCCCAGGUCUGAACCUGUUACAGAGAAUCAUGUCCCAGAUCUGAACCUGUUACAGGGAACCAUGCUCUAGGUCUGGAACUGGCUACAGAGAAUCAAGUUCCAGGUCUGACUCCUGUAACAAAGAAUCAUAUCCCAGCUCUGGAACUGGUUAUGGAGAAUCAUGACCCAGGUCUGAACCUGUUACAGAGAAUCAUGUCCCAGGUCUGGAACUGGCCACAGAGAAUCAUGUUCUAAGUCUGAAACUGGUUGCAGAGAAUCAAGUUCCAGGUCUGAACCUGUUACAGAGAAUCAUGUCCCAGGUCUAAACCUGUUAGAGAAAAUCAUGUCCCAGGUCUGAAUCUGUUACAGAGAAUCAUGUCCCAGCUCUGGAACUGGUCACAGAGAAUCAUGUCCCAGGUCUGGAACUGGUCACAGAGAAUCAUGUCCCAGGUCUGACUCCUGUUGCAGAGAAUCAUGUCCCAGAUCUGAACCCUGUUACUGGAAGUCAGGUCCCAGGUCUGACCCCCAUUCCUCAAAGUCAGGUCCCAGGUCUGACCCCAUUGCUGCUCCCUCGCAGCUGCCAGUGCUGCUGGCACUGUGUCACUGUGGGUGAGCACACUGCUGCCCAGCUGGCCACGCUGCCCUGUGCAGUCGGAGCGGGGGUGGUGAUCCAUAUUCCCUGAUCCCUCUGCUCCAGAGGGAGACAGAAUCGCUCCCGGGAUGCCGAGGGCAGGGCUCGUUGAGGGCUGGGAGCUGUGCUGCAGGAUGCAGCUGCUGGAGCAUCGCUGCGAGCCGGCUCCAGCGGCCAAGGAGCCUCCCCUGCGGCUAACACUGUGGCUUGUGUCCCAGGAGCAGGUCAUUCCUGGUGGCCUUAGGCGUUCCUGUGCCCCGCAGGGCUGGCAGAGCUGACCUCUGCCCCGGCCGUGCCCUGCGGUGUCGCUCUCCUCGCCAGCUGUAGCCUCCUGUACCUUGCAUUAAAGCUGUUCCUGGUUACCACC
Pogoniulus pusillus (Red-fronted tinkerbird) is the source of this 3336-nucleotide long non-coding RNA. RefSeq lists it as uncharacterized. The transcript is spliced from 2 exons. Lineage: Eukaryota; Metazoa; Chordata; Aves; Piciformes; Lybiidae. The record is from RefSeq and is a predicted model, not a curated record.